GAUGGUCUCCGCAAAUCUGAUUUACGUGGUAUUUGAUCAAGGCUCAGUGGAAGCCGCACACGCGUCCGGCCUCUACGGGUAUCCACGCGAGGUAAUGAUUCGAUCGAAGCCUUUGGAUCUCCCCGGGGUGCUAGCUCCCUUGCAGAGAUGGCUUUAGAUGGCUGAUAUCCUCUCCUUUGAAUCAACCUUUGAUUGGCUUGAGAGGAAGAAGAAGAAGGAAAAAUCUAGGAAGAAGAAAACAAGGCCUUUCACAACCUUUUCUUUUUCCUUGCACUAGAACCAAGAGGAGGAGGAAGAGGGCCACGCCAAGCUUCUUUUCUUUCCUUCUCUCUUG
RNAcentral lists this long non-coding RNA (334 nucleotides) under Phoenix dactylifera (date palm). Its description in RNAcentral is "long non-coding RNA (PDAC_LNC008164)". The record is from RNAcentral. Lineage: Eukaryota; Viridiplantae; Streptophyta; Magnoliopsida; Arecales; Arecaceae.